UUUAGUUACUCUGAAGUCACCCAAGUUGCAGCCCCUGCUGAUCUCUGCAGGAACUUGAGCCUCAUAUAAGGGCAAGGCUCCGCUUACCCUCCAGUCAGCUGCUCAGCUUCCCACCCGCCAGCAUGAGGCUCCACCACCUUCUGCUUGCAUUCUUCUCCGUGCUCCUGCUGUCUGUGCCAGGUUCUUCUAAUUACAUAAGUCCUCAA
Molecule: long non-coding RNA, 206 nt
Organism: Phyllostomus discolor (pale spear-nosed bat)
Lineage: Eukaryota; Metazoa; Chordata; Mammalia; Chiroptera; Phyllostomidae
Exons: 4
Source: RefSeq, a predicted model, not a curated record